This 465-nucleotide ribosomal RNA is filed under the name Vreelandella stevensii. Its description in RNAcentral is "partial 16S ribosomal RNA". It matches the Rfam family "Bacterial small subunit ribosomal RNA", at positions 338 to 795 of the family's 1533-position model. Lineage: Bacteria; Pseudomonadati; Pseudomonadota; Gammaproteobacteria; Oceanospirillales; Halomonadaceae. The record is from RNAcentral.
CCUACGGGAGGCUGCAGUGGGGAAUAUUGGACAAUGGGCGAAAGCCUGAUCCAGCCAUGCCGUGUGUGUGAAGAAGGCCUUCGGGUUGUAAAGCACUUUCAGUGGGGAAGAAAGCCUUGGGGCUAAUACCCUCGAGGAAGGACAUCACCCACAGAAGAAGCACCGGCUAACUCCGUGCCAGCAGCCGCGGUAAUACGGAGGGUGCGAGCGUUAAUCGGAAUUACUGGGCGUAAAGCGCGCGUAGGCGGUCUGAUAAGCCGGUUGUGAAAGCCCCGGGCUCAACCUGGGAACGGCAUCCGGAACUGUCAGGCUAGAGUGCAGGAGAGGAAGGUAGAAUUCCCGGUGUAGCGGUGAAAUGCGUAGAGAUCGGGAGGAAUACCAGUGGCGAAGGCGGCCUUCUGGACUGACACUGACGCUGAGGUGCGAAAGCGUGGGUAGCAAACAGGAUUAGAUACCCGAGUAGUC